UGGCGGACGGGGGAGUAAUGUCUGGGAAACUGCCUGAUGGAGGGGGAUAACUACUGGAAACGGUAGCUAAUACCGCAUAACGUCGCAAGACCAAAGAGGGGGACCUUGGGCCUCUUGCCAUCGGAUGUGCCCAGAUGGGAUUAGCUAGUAGGUGGGGUAAAGGCUCACCUAGGCGACGAUCCCUAGCUGGUCUGAGAGGAUGACCAGCCACACUGGAACUGAGACACGGUCCAG
Molecule: ribosomal RNA, 234 nt
Filed under: uncultured bacterium
Lineage: Bacteria
Description: partial 16S ribosomal RNA
Rfam family: Bacterial small subunit ribosomal RNA
Source: RNAcentral